Molecule: small RNA, 1371 nt
Filed under: Pan troglodytes (chimpanzee)
Lineage: Eukaryota; Metazoa; Chordata; Mammalia; Primates; Hominidae
Description: processed transcript
Rfam family: Metazoan signal recognition particle RNA (bases 945-1061)
Source: RNAcentral
GGGCUGGGAGCUAAGGUUCCCAAGCAGAGGAAACAUCAUUCACCUCUUUUAAUCUCAAUGUUUUGAAAGCAAAGCUCUAAGAAGGGCCCGAUUGACUGACAGGAUUUCCCCUGGCAUUUUAGAAGGGACAAGGGGGCUAUUCAUCCCCAGGCUAGUGUCUAUGAGUAAUUCCUCCAGCAUCGAUUUCUUCCCUGUGAAAACAAGAGCAAGGCCGUGGAGCAGGUGAAGAAUGCCUUUAAUAAGCUCCAAGAGAAAGGCAUCUACAAAGCCAUGAGUGAGUUUGACAUCUUCAUCAACUACAUAGAAGCCUACAUGACAAUGAAGAUACGAAACUGAGACAUCAGGGUGGCGACUCUAUAGACUCUAGGCCAUAAAUUAGAGGUCUCCAAAAUCGGAUCUGGGGCUCUGGGAUAGCUGACCCAGCCCCUUGAGAAACCUUAUUGUACCUCUCUCAUAGAAUAUUUAUUACCUCUGAUACCUCAACCCCCAUUUCUAUUUAUUUACUGAGCUUCUCUGUGAACGGUUUAGAAAGAAGCCCAAUAUUAUAAUUUUUUUUCAAUAUUUAUUAUUUUCACCUGUUUUUAAGCUGUUUCCAUAGGGUGACACACUAUGGUAUUUGAGUGUUUUAAGAUAAAUUAUAAGUUACAUAAGGGAGGAAAAAAAAUGUUCUUUGGGGAGCCAACAGAAGCUUCCAUUCCAAGCCUGACCACGCUUUCUAGCUGUUGAGCUGUUUUCCCUGACCUCCUUCUAAUUUAUCUUGUCUGUGGGCUUGGGGCUUCCCAACUGCUACAAAUACUCUUAGGAAGAGAAACCAGGGAGCCCCUUUGAUGAUUAAUUCACCUUCCAGUGUCUCGGAGGGAUUCCCCUAACCUCAUUCCCCAACCACUUCAUUCUUGAAAGCUGUGGCCAGCUUGUUAUUUAUAACAACCUAAAUUUGGUUCUAGGCCGGGCGUGGUGGCUCACACCUGUAAUCCCAGCACUUUGGGAGGCUGAGGCGGGUGGAUCACUUGAGGUCAGGAGUUCCUAACCAGCCUGGUCAACAUGGUGAAACCCCGUCUCUACUAAAAAUACAAAAAUUAGCCGGGCAUGGUGGCGCGCACCUGUAAUCCCAGCUACUUGGGAGGCUGAGGCAAGAGAAUUGCUUGAACCCAGGAGAUGGAAGUUGCAGUGAGCUGAUAUCAUGCCCCUGUACUCCAGCCUGGGUGACAGAGCAAGACUCUGUCUCAAAAAAUAAAAAUAAAAAUAAAUUUGGUUCUAAUAGAACUCAGUUUUAACUAGAAUUUAUUCAAUUCCUCUGGGAAUGUUACAUUGUUUGUCUGUCUUCAUAGCAGAUUUUAAUUUUGAAUAAAUAAAUGUAUCUUAUUCACAUCA